This is a long non-coding RNA of Anguilla rostrata (American eel), 2171 nucleotides long. RefSeq lists it as uncharacterized. The transcript has 5 exons. The record is from RefSeq and is a predicted model, not a curated record. Lineage: Eukaryota; Metazoa; Chordata; Actinopteri; Anguilliformes; Anguillidae.
UAACUUGCACCCGCAACCGGCCGUGCACGCUAUGCGCGCCGCACAAUAGAAAGGACUACGAACUACGCAGCCGGGUGCGUGCUGUGAUUUUUGAGGCAUCACGUCGGUCUCCUGCUGGCUAGCGGACUGCGCCCCCUCACCCCGGCUGUGAUCUGCAGCACAGCCAGGCCUGAGCUCUGCUCCUCUGACAUCUCCCCCAGCCCCGCGCAGGCCACCGCUCCAUUCCCCACGGCCAGAGAGUCAGUUGCUGGGUGCCCCUCUUGCAGUGGCCUGCUCACCAGACAUGAUCCGGCCUGCUAGUUAGCAUGCAGAAACAAACGACGAUGCUCAGAAGGGCCCUGCAGGAAUGUGAGGUGUAGUUGUAGUAAGCAGGAUUUGUGGCUUUAGACGCUCAAGACGUUCCCAGAGCAAGACAUCCUGUCAUUCGGCUUUGUGAGAUGAUGAAUCCAUAAUCUAUUCUCCCUGAGCCUGCCAAGCCUGCCUUUCCCUCCAGCCUGCCUACACGUACGCUGCGUGCCCUCGGAUGAACCUCAGUGGCUGUGGAAUGGCAGGGACAGAGGGGGGCUCAGUCCUUGGCUGUAAGGGAUGACACAACAUUGAUAAUCUUGGCACGAGCAGCAUUCUGCGGGGCAUCACACUGGUCCCUUUGAGAAUAUGGGGAUUUCACGACAAGAACAUGACAUCGGCAUACCUGGAGAUAAACGUGAAGCCAGUCACAUCAGGCCACAACGGAGCUAUAAAGUGUGAUAUAAAUUAUCUUAAUCAUGUGAUCACCAAGUGGAUGAAGCAUUCAAUAAUUUUGAAGUUUUCUAUUCUGCUACCCAACUUAAUGCUGUCCUUAAAAUAUUCUAUAUAUCUAUAUUUCUACUUUGGAAAUGUAACUUUACAAUUUCCAUUUGAAAGGCAGUGCUUUAUGAGCUGCAUUAAUGUGAGCAUUUUUUUUUACACUUGCUUACUGCUGGUUUCAUCUGACUCAUAUGGAUUAUACAGAGAUUCUAUUCAUAGUUCAGAAGCAUGUGGAUAUUUAAUUAUACAUCAUAUUCUUUUGCCCAUUUCAUAGAAUCUCCAGACUGGAUUCAUUCUAUACAUAUACUUGAAAGUUUGAAAACCUCAAGUGACAAGAAUGUUAAUGUGCCAACACUGUCAUAUUUAUUUCUCCUCAUACAUAUUCAAUUAUCCUGGCACACCAAGAUCUAUGUCAGACCCAAGCGCCAAAGUGUACUUUUCAACCGCUUUGGAUAUUCUGAGCUGACGUUAGCAAGGUCUUGAGCUGUUUGCGAGAGCAAGGUGGCCUAUAGUGUCCGAGAACAAACAGAUCUAUCCACAGUCCACAAAGAGCUCGGACUGGAAACCCUUAAUGCGAGAGAACAGCAUGUUUCAGAUGAAGAUUACAGCUGAUCCUGUGGAUUAUCUUUUAAUUAAAGAUGGUCAAAUUGUGCCGGGUCUAGUGGAGUGAACUCCUGGCCACUAAUGAAGUUUAACCAGAAGUGUUCCAUUUAAUUACAGUUAAUCAUAAGAGCCCGGUGUGCAAUGGGUGAUAAUCUUUCUAACAGACACUGCCUGACUGUUUUUAAAAAAGUUGCUGAGAGAAGAUUAAGUGCGAGUUAAUUAAGAGACUGUUGUUGAGCAAAACAUAAAACGAGAAAGAGAGAGAGAGAUAUAGAGAUCGAUCAGGCACUAAGACCCUGCAGAGACAGAGCCAAGACAGUCAAAAGAAAUGCAGUAGGGGAUCUGAGGUGUGUUUACUUGUGUAAGAUGCUCUGGGUAAAAGUGUCUGCUGAAUGUCUAGUGUAGAGUGCAGAGAGAGAGAUAUCCUUGUGUCCACAGGAAUCCUACUGUUUCUCUCCAGUUCUGCUUUUCCACUCGGGCAGGGCAGGGGCAGCUUAGCUCCAGGGGUGUGCCGAAGAGCAGGGGGCCUCAACUGCUUGACACCAGGGGUCCUGGGGUCAGAUGGAUCAGUGCGUGAGUGAGAGUGGCGGAUGUGAGUUGGAAGGUGCUGAGAGGUUACCGAGGGCAACAGGGAACAACAUAAAGCAAGAAUAGGCAGUUUUGAAUUCACCUGUGGAAAGGAGCGGGAAGAAACUCAUUUCCCAACCAAAUAACUGCCAUACUGCAAAAGGGGCCUCAUUCAACUCCUGCAAUAUCACAUUUCUGUUCAAUCUUGAUGAUAA